RNAcentral lists this unclassified non-coding RNA (337 nucleotides) under soil metagenome. Its description in RNAcentral is "partial contains 5.8S ribosomal RNA, internal transcribed spacer 2, and large subunit ribosomal RNA". The stretch from base 1 to 120 matches the Rfam family "5.8S ribosomal RNA", at positions 35 to 154 of the family's 154-position model. The record is from RNAcentral.
GAUGAAGAACGUAGCGAAAUGCGAUAAGUAGUGUGAAUUGCAGAAUUCAGUGAAUCUUCGAAUCUUUGAACGCACAUUGCGCCCCUUGGUAUUCCAUGGGGCAUGCCUGUUCGAGCGUCAUUUGUACCUUCAAGCUCUGCUUGGUGUUGGGUGUUUGUCUCGCCUCUGCGUGUAGACUCGCCUCAAAACAAUUGGCAGCCGGCGUAUUGAUUUCGGAGCGCAGUACAUCUCGCGCUUUGCACUCAUAACGACGACGUCCAAAAGUACAUUUUUACACCCUUGACCUCGGAUCAGGUAGGGAUACCCGCUGAACUUAAGCAUAUCAAUAAGCGGAGGA